RNAcentral lists this unclassified non-coding RNA (240 nucleotides) under soil metagenome. RNAcentral describes it as "partial contains 5.8S ribosomal RNA, internal transcribed spacer 2, and large subunit ribosomal RNA". The record is from RNAcentral.
AACACUGUUAACCUGCGGUACCUGCGGAAGGAUCAUUACCGAGUACCGGGUCUCCGGGCCCUUACUCCCACCCUUUGUGUACCUACCGAUUUUUCGUUGCCUCGGCGGGGUCGAUCCCUAGGGCCCCUGGCCCGUGGGGGACCCGCCGGGGGGACACGCCAAAACUCUUGUAAACGGUGACGUCUGAGAAACAUACAAACUAGUCAAAACUUUCAACAACGGAUCUCAGAUCGGAAGAGC